UAGGGAAUCUUCCACAAUGGGCGCAAGCCUGAUGGAGCAACACCGCGUGAGUGAAGAAGGGUUCGGCUCGUAAAGCUCUGUUGUUAAAGAAGAACACGUAUGAGAGUAACUGUUCAUACGUUGACGGUAUUUAACCAGAAAGUCACGGCUAACUACGUGCCAG
This 163-nucleotide ribosomal RNA is filed under the name uncultured bacterium. RNAcentral describes it as "partial 16S rRNA". It matches the Rfam family "Bacterial small subunit ribosomal RNA", at positions 355 to 511 of the family's 1533-position model. The record is from RNAcentral.